UUAAACGGUAGGGUAUUGGCCUACCGUGGCAAUGACGGGUAACGGGGAACUAGGGUUCGAUUCCGGAGAGGGAGCCUGAGAAACGGCUACCACAUCUAAGGAAGGCAGCAGGCGCGCAAAUUACCCAAUCCUAGUACAGGGAGGUAGUGACAAGAAAUAACAAUACAGGACUUUUUGGUUUUGUAAUGGAAUGAGUAAAAAAUC
This 204-nucleotide ribosomal RNA is filed under the name Cryptosporidium parvum. RNAcentral's name for it is "partial 18S ribosomal RNA". It matches the Rfam family "Eukaryotic small subunit ribosomal RNA", at positions 321 to 527 of the family's 1831-position model. Lineage: Eukaryota; Apicomplexa; Conoidasida; Eucoccidiorida; Cryptosporidiidae. The record is from RNAcentral.